Long non-coding RNA from Zingiber officinale, 177 nucleotides. RefSeq lists it as uncharacterized. The transcript is spliced from 3 exons. The record is from RefSeq and is a predicted model, not a curated record. NCBI's taxonomy places the organism in Eukaryota, Viridiplantae, Streptophyta, Magnoliopsida, Zingiberales, Zingiberaceae.
AAGCUGAGCAUACCUCUUCGCCAUUUUUGGGGGUUUCCGAUACUGAGUUAGGUUAAGUGGCUCACUGUGAGGAGCUCGGCUACAACUCCCAGCAGUUAUUCUUCAUCCGAGAAGCAUUAGGUAGCAGGUAAAGGAUUUAUGGAGUCGCCUGGAGAGCCUCUCCGCCAGUCCCACGUC